This is a non-coding RNA of Chloroflexi bacterium GWB2_54_36, 104 nucleotides long. NCBI's taxonomy places the organism in Bacteria, Bacillati, Chloroflexota. The record is from Rfam.
GUAUUAUAAGGCGGCGAAGAUCUAUGUGCCAAAACAUGGUCGCUUGAUCCUGAAAGUGGGGACAGGUGCAUAGGGAGCCAGUAGCGAAACCGGCCUUUGGGCUG